UGGGUUUAAAAAAGCGCUUCAAGCCUUGAGGCGGUGAGGAAGGUCAAGCUCGCCUCAAAGCUAUAGCGUCGCUUCAGACCGCUUCACCAACUUAAGGCGUAGCCUGAAAAAAUACACGUAGGAUUAGUGGUUAGUCAUAGAAUCAUUCAGGUUCUUCCAUUCUUUGUCAUUAUCCUAAAUCAUUAAAAUUAAAAAUUAAUAAGUAUUCAUAAACAGAGCAUAAAACAGAGAAUUGAUCCAAUAAAGUCUUCAAAAAAAGAGAAUCUAACCAACAAAUCCUUAAAAGAAACUUAACAUAAACCUAAGUCUUCAUAGAUUUAGAAACAAAAGAUUUAUAGAACCAGAAAAAAAGAAUAUAGACUUGGAUAAGAUUCACGCUUGAAAAUAUCUAUUCAAAAAUGUAAAGACACUAAAUAGUUUGAGGUGAAUUGAAGUUUUGAAACCAUAAAAAGAAAGUGUAUAUUAUAUGUUAAUAACUUGUGAUAGGAAUCUUACCUUUAGUUGCAUAAGCGAUGAAGCGUGAGGCGUGAAAGGCGGCUUGAGGCGAGGUUGAAGCAACGCUUACUCGAAUUCGCCUCGCUUCAUCUCCUCGAGGCGGUGACCCUCCCAACCAAGGUCGCCUCACGCCUUAGCGACGCCUUAGCACGCUUUUUUAAACCCAGAACUGACUCGGCUGUCUUUUGAUUUCUGACGUAGUUUGAAGCAUUUAAGAUGACAUAUUGUUCCGUAUCUGUUAUUUACUUCCGUAUUAAAGUUUCUUUAGGUAGUUGAUCUUACUCUUCCAACUGGCAGUUUCCUUGUUCUUUGUUGUAGGGUCAUGGUCUGUUUUAUUCGGUCAUGUAUGGAUUUCUUUUGAGAGCCAAUGCUUACCAGAACAUUCCAAUGUAUAUGAUUGUUUGCGUUUCUUAGUGAGCACUUGUUAAAGUCGAUGUCAGACGACUUAUGUUCUUGAUAACUUUUUCCAACGCCAAGUUUUCUUCAUAAAUUUCCUUGUUAUUUUGGCUAGGCUUCUGUUUUGUCCGAGACACUUGCAUGCUAUGUUCUCUAUAUAUUUUUGGUUCAUAAACAACGUUAAUUGUUUCUGGUGUAAUUUUCAAAAGCAUAGAAUAUUCUCUCAAGUACCUUGGUAGCUGUAUUAGCGAAUGUUUUGCUUUGUACUAUAUUGAAAUUGUAACUCUGGUAGAAAUUUAAUUUCUUUUGACAGUCAAUCGCUAAUGGAGAUGGGCACAAAAGAUUUGAGUUUUGUGCAACUGAAUCAGUUGAUUGGAAGGAAAACGGGAGGACUAUCAGUUUAUCCUCUGACGUCAUCUGUGAGGGGAAAGGCUGAACCUUGCAGCAAAUUUGUUGUACGUGGAAAAUCAAUGGCUGGGCGUGCUGAAGACCUUUUUAACCUGGUACUUUACCUUUUAACAUCCUUUACUUCUGUGUAGAUCUUGUCUCUUUAUCUCUUCUUCUAAAUUGCGUAGACUGCCUCACUCAUCUCUUUCCCAGUGUCUUCUCUGGGAUGCACCUAAUGUGUUUUCCUGUCUUCACUAUGAGUACUUGAUUAUGGUAGACAACCACUUUGACUGGAAAACCUGUUUUGUCUGUUGGGAUAUCAUACAAUGUAACCUUGACACUGAAACGGAUAGUAUCAAUAGGGUGAUAGGUGAACUUUGUGAUUGUAUAAAUCCCUUUCAGUGCAUGUCCCUUAUUUAAUUAUGAUUCUGUCGAAGCUACUGGUUGGCUCUUAUCUUCACUCCAUUUUAUCUUGCUGCAGAUGAAUUGCUUGUUGCAAGAAGUUCAGUUUACUGAUCAGCAGCGGUUUAAACAGUUUGUCUCUCAAAGCAUAGCACGGAUGGAGGUAAGUAGUAGAAUUUUUCUCUCCAUCUUUUUCAUUAUUUAUAGAACUGAAAAUUGUAGUGUAAACAUCAUUUCUCAUUUUAUACAGAACCGAUUGAGGGGAAGUGGUCAUGGAAUCGCUGCGGCGAGGAUGGAUGCAAUGUUGAACGUUGCUGGAUUGAUGUCUGAACAGAUGGGUGGUCUCAGGUUAGAACUUGGUCAUUCUUUAUUUGACUUUUCAUUUAAACCCUUUUAAUCCUCUUCUCCUUUUAUUGUUAAACUUGAGCAUCUCUCUUUUGUAGUUACCUUGAGUUCUUGCACACUCUUGCAAAGAAGGUGGAUGAAGACUGGGAAGGGAUAUCAUCCUCACUCGAAGAGAUCAGGAGAUCUCUCCUCGCCAGGAACGGUUGCUUAGUUAACAUGACUGCAGAUGGCAAGUCUCUCACCAACAUCGAAAAAUCGGUUGAGAAGUUUCUAAACUUACUCCCUGAAACCCCAUCUGGUGGGCUCGUCACUUGGGACGGUCGACUUCCUCUGAGAAACGAAGCCAUUGUAAUACCAACUCAGGUACCCAAAAAAAGAAGACUAUUUAUACAGAAAAUGUGUUUUGGGUUUAGUGUUUUCUCAUACUCUCACUCUUUGCAGGUGAACUAUGUUGGAAAAGCUGGUAACAUUUACAGCACGGGGUAUGAGCUUGAUGGCAGUGCAUACGUUAUAUCAAAGCAUAUUAGCAACACAUGGUUAUGGGAUCGUGUUCGUGUAAGCGGUGGUGCGUAUGGAGGUUUCUGUGAUUUCGAUUCGCAUUCAGGUUUAAAAACUUCUUUUAACUUUUCUUCCUUGAAUGUAGGGUAUUAAAAGAGUUGUCCUUAAAAAUAACAUAUUGGAUCUCUCUCUCUCUUUGUUUUCAGGAGUGUUUUCGUUCUUGUCUUACCGUGAUCCAAACUUGUUGAAGACACUUGACAUAUAUGAUGGAACCGGAGACUUCUUGCGUGGGCUUGAUGUGGAUCAAGAGACGCUCACUAAAGCUAUCAUUGGAACCAUUGGUGAUGUUGAUUCGUACCAGUUACCUGAUGCCAAAGGUUAUAGCAGUUUGAUGAGGCAUUUACUUGGAGUAACAGACGAAGAACGGCAAAGAAAGCGUGAAGAGAUACUAACAACAAGGUUUGUUAACAUACAUUCUCUUAAUGAUUGAUUGUUCUCUAUAGUAUAUGGUUAAAAGUGUUGAUAUGGUUUUGAUCUUCUCUCUGUUCCACAGCUUAAAGGACUUUAAGGAGUUCGCAGAAGCAAUAGAUGUGGUUAGAGAGAAAGGUGUUGCGGUGGCAGUGGCAUCCGCAGAAGACAUUGAUGCGGCGAACCAAGCGCGUUCCAACUUUUUCGAGGUUAAGAAAGCUCUCUAAGUUGAUAACUUUUACUGUAAUAAGAAGAUUGAGAAUCUCUUUAGAUUUGUUUCUUUGCUGCAAGUGAGAGUGUCUUGGUAAAGCCUUGAUAUAUUGUUUACCCAACAUUAUGGACUUUUCACAAUAAAUGAAGCAUUUCGUUCACUUUCAACUUAUUUGCCCUGUGGAAAUCUUAAUAUCAGAAACUUUACCAAAAAUGAAUAUCGAUGUAUUAAAUGUGCGUAAGAGAGCUUUGUAGAAUAGACACUCAAAAAUUUUGCUCGAAAGCGUACCAAAACAACUAUUUGAUGCAAUAACUCUGCAAUACGAUCUUUUGGUGAUUUAAUAAAGAGUUAUUCUUGGGUUCACCAACCGAUUUCAUUAUUUCAAAUUUAAUAUCUUUUAAAAAAGAAAACAAAAUAUUGUCAAGAUAUAUUAUGUUUUUAAAUUAAAAAGUUAAAAAAAAAAAUCUUAGUUAGAGAAAAACAAAUUUAAAAAAAAAAUAUUUUUAUCAUCGUCAGCAAAACACUAAAUCCUAAUCCAUAAACCCUAAAUCAUAAAUCCUAAACCCUUGGGCAAACUCUAAACCCUUGGAUAAAUCAUAAACUCUAAAUCAAAAACACUAAAUCCUAAAACCAUAAACCCUAAAUCCUAAAUCCUAAACCCUUGAGUGUUUAGUGUUUUUGAUUUGGAGUUUAGGAUUUAUCUAAGGAUUUAGGGUUUACCCAAGGGUUUAGGAUUUAGGAUUUAGGGUUUAGAGAUUAGAAUUUUGGGUUUAGUAUUUUGCUGAGGACAUUAAAAAUAUAUUUUUUAAACUACUAUUUUUUUUUUAAAUUUAUUUCUUUUACCUUUAUAUUUUAAAAAUAUAAUAUAACAUAUAGCUUGAGAAAAUAUUUUGUUUUCUUUUUUAAAAGAUUUCGAAUAUGAAAUAAUACAAUCCUAUUGGUUGGUGAACCUAGAGGUUCACCCCCUAGGGUUUAGGGUGAACCCAAGAAUAAGUCUUUAAAAAACAAGGAAACGUUCUCUUUCUAAAACACGUUCUCUCUCUAAACCCUCUCCAAAAAGAAUUCCCGAUCUUGCCUCCGGCGGUCUCUUUCCCUUUUCACCGUCGGAGGGCGCCUCCUCCUCCCUUCCUCUCCGUUUUCCUUUGCUUCAUCUUCCCCCUUAGCCGCUCUUCGAUAUGCGGCUUUCCCUGGAGCUCGAACGUUCGCCGGCGGAGGAGCCUAAGCCAACUCUGGCGGUCGCCUCGUUCCUCUGGUGACGCUGCAAGACUGGUGUACGACGGCGGGAAGUUGAAGUCGGUUCUUUGGAUAGGGUUUCGGCUGGAGUCGAUUUUCUCUUUUUAGAUCUACGCGAAACUCUGCGUAUGGCGGCGCGUGGCUACGGUGGGGGACUCCUCCGACCCGGAUCUGUCCUUUCCUCCGGUUGUUUCUAUUUUUUGUUGUCCCGGUGGAGUGGUUGUGUCGGUCUUUGUUUUGACUAGUUCGAGUUGUUGUUUAGAUUUUAUUUUCUUUUUCCGUUUCUUGUCGUCAUUGUUCUUUUGUCAAAAACUUGAAAAUUGGUAAUAAUAUCUUUACAUUUUUACCAAAAAAAAAAACUCUGCAAUACAAAAUAAAUUUUCAAAAUAAUUCUGGAGUAAACUUUUCCAAAAAAUCUACAUUUAAAUCUAAAUUACUUUACCUAAUAAUUGUACCAAAAGUUAACAACUUGCAUCUAUAUCAAUACGUGUUUUAAUUUUGAAACAAAUAUCCGUAAUAGUUACAUAUUUCCUGGUUAGUAUUAUUUACAAAAUGAAAAUCUCUAUAACAGAAUUGGAUUUAAAUGGAAAUUAAAUUUAGGUUUAGAACUUUUUUUUAAUUUAGGUUUAGAUUUAUAUUUAGGAAAAUAAAUCUUAAAGUAUUAUAUAGCCGUUGUCGAAUUGCAUUUAGGAAAGUGUAGUUUUCAAAAAAUAAAAUAAAAGAUUUAAUUUUCAAAUUUCAAACUGUUAAUGGAGUAAAUUUAAAAUUAUCCCUUUAUUUAGUAUAUAUAUAUAUAUAUAUAUAUCUACUUAUAAAUGUAUAUAUACUAUACCGGUAUUCUCGCAUAUGUUUAUCUCUAUUUUCAACCAUCAGUAAAUUAUUUUAAAAGUUGGAUAUCUUCAUAUACAAAAUAGUAAAAUGUACAAAAUAAUAUAAUUUAACAUAUACAAAAAAUAUGAAUUUUUAUUAUAUCUCUAAUGUGAUUAUUCAAUUUAUGUUAAUAAUAUAAAAUUAAACAAAAAUAAUAGAUGAUACACAAAUUGUUAUCAAAUCUUUCUUAUUUAAAUUAAUUAAUUAUCAGAUAUUUUUUAGUCAUAUUAGAUAAUUCCGUAACUUUUAUUUAAGAAAAAAAUAGAUAAUUUUUUUUUGUAGAUUGCUAAUUAAUUUUAUGGUUAAAUUAAGAGGAUUAAUAAUAAAUAUAGUUUAUGUUUAUUGACCAACAUAUCUGUUUAAAAAUUCUAAAAAUUAUUCUAAUGAUGACAAUCGGCAUAUUUUACAUAUUGUAAUGCUUCUCAGUUAUUAUAUAGAUAUCUAACCUUAUAAACAACUUUUCAAAGAUCCUUUUUGUUUUUGUGUUUGUUAUCAGUGUAUAAAAAGCAUACCACUAAUAGACUCAUGAGCAGAUCUAGAUAGAGGUUAUAGAAGAAAACAUAAACAACAUUUGUCUCCUUCCGGGUAGACAUGCAAGCACUUACCUCUUUCUUCGUCUCUCGUUCCCUCGUCCCGACCACUCCAAGGCGACCUCGAGUGCGACCACUAUCAGUACC
Molecule: long non-coding RNA, 5982 nt
Filed under: Brassica rapa (field mustard)
Lineage: Eukaryota; Viridiplantae; Streptophyta; Magnoliopsida; Brassicales; Brassicaceae
Description: long non-coding RNA (BRAP_LNC000629)
Source: RNAcentral